This 253-nucleotide ribosomal RNA is filed under the name uncultured bacterium. RNAcentral describes it as "partial 16S ribosomal RNA". It matches the Rfam family "Bacterial small subunit ribosomal RNA", at positions 524 to 776 of the family's 1533-position model. The record is from RNAcentral.
UACAGAGGUGGCAAGCGUUGUUCGGAAUUACUGGGCGUAAAGGGCGCGUAGGCGGCCCGUCAAGUCCCGUGUGAAAGCCCCCGGCUCAACCGGGGAACGGCGCGGGAAACUAGCAGGCUUGAGUUCGGGAGAGGGAAGCGGAAUUCCGGGUGUAGCGGUGAAAUGCGCAGAUAUCAGGAAGAACACCAAUGGCGAAAGCAGCUUUCUGGGACGGUACUGACGCUGAGACGCGAAAGCGUGGGGAGCGAACAGG